ACGGAGGGUGCAAGCGUUGUCCGGAAUUAUUGGGCGUAAAGAGCUCGUAGGCGGCUUGUCGCGUCUGCUGUGAAAACCCGGAGCUCAACUCCGGGCCUGCAGUGGGCACGGGCAGGCUAGAGUGCGGUAGGGGAGAUUGGAAUUCCUGGUGUAUGGGUCGAAGGCGCAGAUAUGAGGAUGAAGAGCGAUGACGGGGGGGGACCGCUGUUACGCUACUUGGGAUGAUGAGCAAAAACGUGUGGAGCUCAUGG
Molecule: ribosomal RNA, 251 nt
Filed under: uncultured prokaryote
Description: partial 16S rRNA
Rfam family: Bacterial small subunit ribosomal RNA
Source: RNAcentral